This 587-nucleotide ribosomal RNA is filed under the name uncultured bacterium. RNAcentral describes it as "bacterial SSU rRNA". It matches the Rfam family "Bacterial small subunit ribosomal RNA", at positions 216 to 801 of the family's 1533-position model. The record is from RNAcentral.
CGGUUAGAGAGGGGCGUGCGUCCCAUUAGGUAGUUGGUAGGGUAACGGCCUACCAAGCCGACGAUCGGUAGCUGGCCUGAGAGGGUGGUCAGCCACACUGGGACUGAGACACGGCCCAGACUCCUACGGGAGGCAGCAGUGAGGAAUAUUGGGCAAUGGGCGCAAGCCUGACCCAGCGACGCCGCGUGUGGGAUGACAGGGCUAUGCCUUGUAAACCACUGUCGGGUGGGACGAAAAGCGAGCUACGGCUCGCCGGGACGGUACCACCAGAGGAAGGGUCGGCUAACUACGUGCCAGCAGCCGCGGUAAUACGUAGGACCCAAGCGUUAUCCGGAUUCACUGGGUGUAAAGGGUGUGUAGGCGGGCGUGCGCGUCUGGGGUGAAAGGUUCCGGCUCAACCGGAAACAUGCCUUGGAUACGGCACGUCUUGGGUGCGGGAGAGGACGGUGGAAUUCCUGGUGUAGCGGUGAAAUGCGUAGAUAUCAGGAGGAACACCAGUGGCGAAGGCGGCCGUCUGGCCCGCAACCGACGCUGAAACACGAAAGCGUGGGGAUCAAACAGGAUUAGAUACCCUGGAAGUCCACGCC